UGGGGAAUUUUGGACAAUGGGCGCAAGCCUGAUCCAGCCAUGCCGCGUGCAGGAUGAAGGCCUUCGGGUUGUAAACUGCUUUUGUACGGAACGAAAAGGUGCCUUCUAAUAAAGGGCGCUCAUGACGGUACCGUAAGAAUAAGCACCGGCUAACUACGUGCCAGCAGCCGCGGUAAUACGUAGGGUGCGAGCGUUAAUCGGAAUUACUGGGCGUAAAGCGUGCGCAGGCGGUUUUGUAAGACAGAGGUGAAAUCCCCGGGCUCAACCUGGGAACUGCCUUUGUGACUGCAAGGCUGGAGUGCGGCAGAGGGGGAUGGACUUCCGCGUGUAGCAGUGAAAUGCGUAGAUAUGCGGCGGAACACCGAUGGCGAAGGCAAUCCCCUGGGCCUGCACUGACGCUCAUGCACGAAAGCGUGGGGAGCAAACA
This 427-nucleotide ribosomal RNA is filed under the name uncultured bacterium. Its description in RNAcentral is "bacterial SSU rRNA". It matches the Rfam family "Bacterial small subunit ribosomal RNA", at positions 355 to 774 of the family's 1533-position model. The record is from RNAcentral.